ACUGAGAACUGCAUCAAGAUGAUGUUGAUAGCAACUCUGACUCUCGUGUUGGGUUUUCUAAUGCAAGAUUCCUUGGCCAAUAAAUUUCUUACUCAGGCUGAUAAAUCCAAACUUGUCAGUCUUGGUGGGACCGUGACCAUCAGCGCCACAGGAAGUUCAGAUAUUGGUGCUGAUCUCAGUUGGUAUCUUCAGAAACCGGGACAGCACCCCAAACUUCUUAUAUAUCAAGCAUCAACUCGCUCCUCAGGAACUCCGUCUCGAUUCAGUGGCAGUAGAUCUGGUUCUCAGUACACUUUAACCAUCAGUGGGUUUCAGGCUGAAGAUGCUGGAGAUUAUUACUGUAUGGGUGUGCAUACUGGUGGAGUAUGCGCACAGUGA
Molecule: non-coding RNA, 378 nt
Organism: Neolamprologus brichardi
Lineage: Eukaryota; Metazoa; Chordata; Actinopteri; Cichliformes; Cichlidae
Source: the annotation of a RefSeq genome assembly